AAACAGGAAUUAAAUAGUAAUAUUUUUCAAAAUACAAGGAUCAACUAAUUAGUUUCCUUAAACUAGAGGGACUAAAUAGUAGUUUAACUAGUAUUGACUAAUGAAAAAUUUAACGGAGAAACUAAAUAAUUUAACGGAUGCAAAAUAUAGGGACUAAUAGGGUAUUUUUCAAAAUAUGGAGACCAAAUAGUUAGUUUCGUUAAAAUACAAGGACUCAAUAAUAAUUUCUACUUUGUAAUUUUGUUGGUGAUUUUGUUGAGAUAAAAUGUUGAGAUGCAAUUUUAAUAUUGAGAUACAAUUCCUUUUAUUCUUGUUGGGUUCCUUUCUUUUGCUGUUCUGUUUGUUUCUUUGACUCUUGUACUCUAUAUUCUACGAAUGCAGUGUUGAUACAAUUUCACGCUGCUGGGCCCGAGUUGGUAUUAGUCACUGGGCACUGGGUAGGGAAAGUGAGGAAACGGCAUUGUUUGGGCGAAAACACAAUGUUUGGCGUUAUGUACAGAAUCGACAAACCAAACUAACUAUCAUUUUAGUUUGGUUCGGUUUUCAUUUUAUAUGAUUUCUGUAAUUCAGUCUUUUUGGUUCAGAACCAAACCAAACUAUUGCACAACCCUAACAUCCCCAACUUUAUGUUUAUUGUUUGAGUGAUAACUAUCUCUUCUACGAGGCCUUAUUUGGAUGUUUGAUAAUCUAACGUGGACAUAACAAGGUAAUGCAAACAUGUCACAUGACUCCACAAUAGACAAGUCAUGUCAACAAUUAAUGCCUUUUUAUAAAAAUUUUAUCACCAAAGAGUGCAAGUUAGAGGCUAUGGCUUCAAUCAGCGAUUCAUCUUUCCCUUUGGACAAGGGCAUACAAAGAAUUGGUGGCCUAAGAAAUCAGACAAUCUCUGUAGGAGAGAGAUUAUACCCUGCUUUAUAACCAAGCUGCAGGAUCAAAGUAAGGGUGUGUAGCUUGUUUUGUCAAUGCAUAACUGGGUCCAACCUGACCAGUGGCUGCAUCAUGUCAGUUAAAAAAGCCAAUUUUUCAUGAUUCCAAAAGCUUAGAAUCAACUUGGACAUAUCAUAUACCAAACAAAUGGAAUGGCAACCAGGAAUGGCAGGGAAGACAUAUGUUAAUCAUAACAGCAAUAGAGAAUGUUAAACACAUACUGGAAUCAGUGGCUUUCAUGAUUGCGUUGCCAAUAAAAGGUACCUUUGAACACAUAGCUGCAACCACCUGCAAACCCAAUUCCUUAGAAGACACAUGGCAAGGAUUUAUUUAUUUUAUAUAAAUACUCAGGGAACAGUCUGAGUAUUUGGAUAGCUUUAUUCCUGUGUUACAUAGACUCACGGACAAGUGUUGGAUACAGAAUAUAUCCCAUUCAGGGGACUCAUUCAAAAUCAAAUUUUGAGAUACUUGGUAACAGAUCCAGAGUUGACGUUUUGAACAAUGAUCUUAACAUUUUGGUCACACAAUAAGGAGUGCAAUCCUAACAUUUUGGAUGGAAUGGAACAGGACAAAAAAGAAUAUAACAAGUGAAAAGAUCAAACUAUACCGCAUUUAUAAAUUUUUCAAUUUUCCUUUUCAGUAAUUACACAUUUUAAGAAUUUAGGCCUCCUAAUCCAAAUUAUUCUCUUUUUUUCUAAACAUAAAAUAUCCAACAGUAUUCAUAUCUAACAAAUGUGUGCUAGCCCACUUGCAGGCCUGAACAAACAAUAAAAUAUGCAAUAUACUAUUGAAUACAUUACACAUGAUAUCAAGUCACUGUUUGCUCUGGUGUUUUCAUCCAACAUCAGAGAGAGCAGUCUAAUGAGGAUGAAAUAUCUAUUCUUUAAAGUCAUUUACAGAAGUCAGAUGAAAGAAAACCUUUGGGUUUUUAUGCUUCUAAUGGGAAUGAAAAAUAUGUUUUUAUUCUACACUACACUUUAGAUGCAGUAAAAGAGAGUGAAACCUCAAAAAAGAUAUCUAAGUACUCAAGCAGUCACCUCAAUUUUGGUUUUACUGAAUACAAUAAAGGAGUAUUGCGAGCCAAGACAAGCAACCAAAACACAAGUUACACAAUUACAAUUGAUUGUAAGACAUAAACGAGAACAAUACUUUGUGAAGAAAUCUGACCAAGCGCAAACUAAAAUUAACAGGAUUUUGUGAGGCAAUUAAUCCAAUAACAACAAAAUUUGCAACAAAUACACAUUAAAAUACUGUGAGUUCAUGAAGGACCCACAAAUAAUUGCACCAAAAGAGGGGAAAAUUAACUUACAGAUGGAGGAGUGGCUUCCAAGGAAGAAAAAUGAGACUUUGGGAUAAUAAGAGAGUGCCUACAAAACAAACAGGGUUUGAAUUCAAAUGAGUAGGAGACAGAUAAAGAUUUACCAGUAAAUGAAAAAAUGCAAAAGAUAAUUGACGCGUGCUCUGAACUGUUUACUUUAAUCUUUAGAAAGUAAUCACAUUAAAGUUUGAACUUUGCAUAUUGUUACAAUCAGUCAAUCACAAUCCCUCAUGUAGUCAGCACAGAACAAGGAAUACAUCCUCUUGAGGGAGGAAAAAAAUUAGCAAAUUGGUAAAACUUCUCUCAGCUGAGGUAGAGAAGGGAAAUUUUGGGUAAAUGUUUUGUUCAGUAGAACUCAAUUAAACAAGGUAAAUGCAUUCCGUUAAUGGUUCUUCUCAUUCCCUUUCAAUGGUUAAUUUCAGACAAUACAUUCUUCAAGUAACAUUAAACCAGCAUGACCAUAAGAAUUCAUUCAAGAGAGCAAGUAGGACUUCUAACAAUUGCACUUAAAGUAGCUGACACUGCACUGCAUCACCAUACCAGAGAAUCUAUAAAUAAUUUUUCCUUUUUUUAAAAAAAAAAAAUUAUAUUUUGAAUGUCUUAGCUUUUCAUG
Molecule: unclassified non-coding RNA, 2858 nt
Filed under: Hevea brasiliensis (rubber tree)
Lineage: Eukaryota; Viridiplantae; Streptophyta; Magnoliopsida; Malpighiales; Euphorbiaceae
Source: RNAcentral